This 492-nucleotide ribosomal RNA is filed under the name uncultured bacterium. RNAcentral's name for it is "partial 16S ribosomal RNA". It matches the Rfam family "Bacterial small subunit ribosomal RNA", at positions 29 to 507 of the family's 1533-position model. The record is from RNAcentral.
AGUGAACGCUGGCGGUAGGCCUAACACAUGCAAGUCGAACGGCAGCACAGUAAGAGCUUGCUCUUACGGGUGGCGAGUGGCGGACGGGUGAGGAAUACAUCGGAAUCUACUUUUUCGUGGGGGAUAACGUAGGGAAACUUACGCUAAUACCGCAUACGACCUACGGGUGAAAGCAGUGGAUCUUCGGACCUUGCGCGAUUGAAUUAGCCGAUGUCGGAUUAGCUAGUUGGCGGGGUAAAGGCCCACCAAGGCGACGACCCGUAGCUGGUCUGAGAGGAUGAUCAGCCACACUGGAACUGAGACACGGUCCAGACUCCUACGGGAGGCAGCAGUGGGGAAUAUUGGACAAUGGGCGCAGGCCUGAUCCAGCCAUACCGCGUGGGUGAAGAAGGCCUUCGGGUUGUAAAGCCCUUUUGUUGGGAAAGAAAAGCAGCAGGUUAAUACCCCGCUGUUCUGACGGUACCCAAAGAAUAAGCACCGGCUAACUUCGUG